RNAcentral lists this long non-coding RNA (762 nucleotides) under Nicotiana tabacum (common tobacco). RNAcentral's name for it is "long non-coding RNA (NTAB_LNC018616)". The record is from RNAcentral. Lineage: Eukaryota; Viridiplantae; Streptophyta; Magnoliopsida; Solanales; Solanaceae.
AUGCUUUCGCCGGAGCAUUCUAUGCUUGCCGGUGGAGCUGGUGGAAGCGGUGACGGUGAGUAUAAUCGACGGCUACAAAGAGGCGAUGAUGAUUUUAUCAUUCCCUUCUGAGCUCAUUAAUUAAUCGGGACAUUUUGAGAUAACCCGACCCGUAUCUUGGCGGGGCAAUGCCCUCAGGUUUACCCUGGUGGGUUUUGCAACCAUGGCGUCGUUGGACUCUCCUUUUGCCUCAGGUUAAACACAGAUCUGAGCCUCAAUAUAUGUACCAAUUUUAGAAAUUUCGGCUAAUUUUGGAAUGUGAUGUAGAGGAUUCAUACCGAUUUGUUAUGAGGCUUAGUAGUUGUUGAUGUUGUUGUUUUAUAUGAUGGAAUGAUUUGACUGCAUGAAUUGCAAAAUUCACAAUUUAGUUUUCUCUGUUUUAUCCAUUAAUGGAGCUCAAAAGGCCUAAUCUCUUGUUUCACUGGUUGUCAAAAUGGACUUUUUAGUUAUGCUUUUCAAAAUGCAAAGAACUCCAAAAACUGUGAAAGUCUCAUUAGUUUUAAGUCUGAGGCUGUGGUGAAUGCAGAUAGCUGUAGGGAGUUUUAAUGAGUGGUUUUGCCCCUCCCUGGCAUUCUCUGCUGCCAGUGAUCACUUAAAUGAGAAGUUUUCCAAUUACAAAACACUCUUUUGGUGAAAUUACAUAAUGACCUGGCUAGUUUCCUGUUCUUGUUAUACUCUUCGUUUCAAUGCAAUUAGGCUGUGAAGAUUUUAGUCUUCUGUGGG